Molecule: long non-coding RNA, 234 nt
Organism: Salvia splendens (bonfire salvia)
Lineage: Eukaryota; Viridiplantae; Streptophyta; Magnoliopsida; Lamiales; Lamiaceae
Exons: 3
Source: RefSeq, a predicted model, not a curated record
CUCACGCCAUUCCCUCUUCUUCACUCUCCCACACUUGUUCUUCCAUUCAACUCAAGAUCCUUUCGAUUCGCCAAGAGUUUGUCGAAGAACCAAGAGUUUUAAACGUUUCUACCGAUUGUUUUGUUCAAGAAAGGUGAUAACUCGUGCUCGAAGCGUGAUAGCAAAGGAAAGGCAGUAGUUGAAAUCAAAACGGUCGAGGUUGAGCAGCGACGAGCGGUUGGUGGUGUUGAGCAG